This 1188-nucleotide long non-coding RNA is filed under the name Monodelphis domestica (gray short-tailed opossum). RNAcentral's name for it is "lncRNA (ENSMODG00000051598.1)". Lineage: Eukaryota; Metazoa; Chordata; Mammalia; Didelphimorphia; Didelphidae. The record is from RNAcentral.
AGUUCGUUUUUAGGGUAACAGGUUUUCAAUCAUAUAUUUCCCUCCUUCCUUCCUUCCUUCCUUCCUUCCUUCCUUCCUUCCUUCCUUCCUUCCUUCCUUCCUUCCUUCCUUCCUUCCUUCCUUCCUUCCUUCCUUCCUUCUUUCCUUUCUUCUUCUCUCUUCCUUCCUUCCUUCCUUCCUCUUCCUUCCUUCCUUCCUUCCUUCCUUCCUUCCUUCCUUCCUUCCUUCCUUCCUUCCUUCCUUCCUUCCUUCCUUCCUUCCUUCCUUCCUUCCUUCCUUCCUUCUUUCUUUUUUUCUUCUUUCUUUCUUUCUUUCUUUCUUUCUUUCUUUCUUUCUUUCUUUCUUUCUUUCUUUCUUUCUUUCUUUCUUUCUUUCUUUCUUUCUUUCUUUCUUUCUUUCUUUCUUUCUUUCUUUCUUUCUUUCUUUCUUUCUUUCUUUCUUUCUUUCUUUCUUUCUUUCUUUCUUUCUUUCUUUCUUUCUUUCUUUCUUUCUUUCCUUCCUCUAUCCCUCCCUCCUUCCUGCCUGCCUUCCUUCCUGCCUGCCUUCCUUCAUUCCUUCUUUUUCUGUAUAUUGGUAAAAAAAUUAAUGCAUCAUUAAUAAAGAUAAUAAAUGAGAUUCCUAACCAUUGAACUUGUUUUGGUCCUUGUAUGCAUUUUCUUGAAGAGCUUUGCUCCUUCAUUUAACAUUAGAUAAAAUAUAGAGAAGUUGCUUUGGAUCAACCUCAUCAUUCUCCUAACAUUUCACCUACAAACAAACCUGUGUGUUAUUCCUCUACUUUUGGCAGAAGAACAAAACCACCAAUUCAUCAACUAUGUACCCAAACUGCCAUCAAUUCACAUUGUUACUUUCUCUAUGCUGUUCUAUUUGAAGACAAAACUACUUUUUUCUUUGCCUAACCCACCAUUAUCACCUCCUGUGUCUAUAGCAUUGAAAUUUUAGACUAUAAUUGACAAGAAAAAUUCUAGCUCCCACAUGAGCAGGUGUGGGAACUCAUAACUCAUUUAUUUAUGCUCAAUAGAACCUGGUAUUAGGGCAAUAUCAAUACUUCUGACUCUCUCUGUGUAAACAAACGAAUUAGAGAGAAUUAAAUCUGUAAAGGACCUCAGAGAAAAUAUAAUACAAAUUCUUAAUUUUAUAGUUAAAAUUAAUUUGCAAGAAGUUAAGUGACUUAUUCAAGAUCAAAUCUAG